Molecule: ribosomal RNA, 429 nt
Filed under: Verrucomicrobiota bacterium
Lineage: Bacteria; Pseudomonadati; Verrucomicrobiota
Description: Verrucomicrobia bacterium partial 16S ribosomal RNA
Rfam family: Bacterial small subunit ribosomal RNA
Source: RNAcentral
UAGGGAAUCUUCCGCAAUGGACGAAAGUCUGACGGAGCAACGCCGCGUGAGUGAAGAAGGAUUUCGGUUCGUAAAACUCUGUUGUUAGGGAAGAAAAAAUGUAUAGUAACUAUAUACAAAAGAGACGGUACCUAACCAGAAAGCCACGGCUAACUACGUGCCAGCAGCCGCGGUAAUACGUAGGUGGCAAGCGUUGUCCGGAAUUAUUGGGCGUAAAGCGCGCGCAGGUGGUUUAGAAAGUCUGAUGUGAAAGCCCACGGCUCAACCGUGGAGGGUCAUUGGAAACUAAUAAACUUGAGUGCAGGAGAGAAAAGUGGAAUUCCUAGUGUAGCGGUGAAAUGCGUAGAGAUUAGGAGGACCACCGGUGGCGAAAGCGGCUUUUUGGCCUGCAACUGACACUGAGGCCCGAAAGCGUGGGGAGCAAACAGG